GACGAACGCUGGCGGCGUGCUUAACACAUGCAAGUCGAACGGAAAGGCCCUGCUUUUGUGGGGUGCUCGAGUGGCGAACGGGUGAGUAACACGUGAGUAACCUGCCCUCGACUUUGGGAUAACUUCAGGAAACUGGGGCUAAUACCGGAUAGGAGCUCCUGCUGCAUGGUGGGGGUUGGAAAGUUUCGGCGGUUGGGGAUGGACUCGCGGGUUAUCAGCUUGUUGGUGGGGUAGUGGCUUACCAAGGUUUUGACGGGUAGCCGGCCUGGGAGGGUUACCGGCCACAUUGGGACUGAGAUACGGACCAGACUCCUACGGGAGGCAGCAGUGGGGAAUAUUGCACAAUGGGCGGAAGCCUGAUGCAGCAACGCCGCGUGCGGGAUGACGGCCUUCGGGUUGUAAACCGCUUUCGCCUGCGACGAAGCGUGAGUGACGGUAAUGGGUAAAGAAGCACCGGCUAACUACGUG
Molecule: ribosomal RNA, 468 nt
Filed under: uncultured bacterium
Lineage: Bacteria
Description: partial 16S ribosomal RNA
Rfam family: Bacterial small subunit ribosomal RNA
Source: RNAcentral